This 1284-nucleotide ribosomal RNA is filed under the name Dendropoma platypus. RNAcentral describes it as "16S ribosomal RNA". It matches the Rfam family "Bacterial large subunit ribosomal RNA", at positions 431 to 2618 of the family's 2925-position model. Lineage: Eukaryota; Metazoa; Mollusca; Gastropoda; Littorinimorpha; Vermetidae. The record is from RNAcentral.
GCCAGCCGGUUAUUGUAGAAGGAUAUUUUUGUCUGUUGUAGUCUUGUAAAAUAAAUACUGAAGCGUUGUUCGAGUAUUAGAUAAAAAAGUGAGUUUAAUGAUAAGUGAUGAUAAGUACCAUGAGGGAAUAUAGAGUUGUUAGUUAUUAAGUAGUGGUAAGCGCGUACCUUUUGCAUCAUGGCUUAACAAGUAUAUUUGCUAAAGGGCUUUUCUCGAAACCUUGUGAGCGUCCUUUAUAUAUUAGCUUGGAAAAUUAUUAAUCUGCUCAUGUGGCAAAAUGGGGGAUAAAUAUAAAGGAAGUGUUGAGAUUUCAUUCGUACAAGGGGAUAGCUAGUUACUUCAAAAAUGCAUCUUGGUGCAGUAGUUAUUCUAGAUUUAAAGUAUUACAGGUAAAUUUUAAUAUUUUAUAUGUUUGUGACUAAUGAGAUUCUCGAAGCUAAGUUCGAGAAUAAAGACACUAAUCAGGAAGAGUAGACAUUCAGAAGUGGGCUUAAAAUUAGUCGACUAGGACUGUUUGUUAUAAGAGAUUAUUGGUGCAUGGACAUGAUACUAAGAUAGUGUUUGGUAAUAGAAAAUGGGGUAAUAUAUUAAAGUAAUAGGUUAAAUAUAGAAAGAAUGUUAAAAUGAGUAUUGAUAAAGGAAAAUUACGAAUAAUUAUACUAAAAUACACUAAUUAUUUAGAAUAAAAAUAGAGGAUAUAUAGGUUUGAAAAAGGAAUUUGGCAAAUAAGAACUUCGCCUGUAUAGCAAAAACAUGGCUCUCUGCUGAGAAUAGAGAGUUAGGCCUGCCCAGUGACGAUGUUAUUAUUUAAUUAGUUAAAUGGCCGCGGUACCUUGACCGUGCGAAGGUAGCAUAAUCAUUUGCCUUCUAAUUAGAGGCUGGUAUGAAUGGUUAGACGGAAGUUCUACUGUCUCUACACAAACAAAAGAGAAUUUAAUCUUUAGGUUCAAAAGCCUAAAUACGAUUAAUAGACGAGAAGACCCUAGCGAGCUUAAUUUUAUAGUUAAGGAGUAUAUGUUAACUCUAAAUUUUGGUUGGGGCGACUUAGGAAAGUGGAGCAUCCUUUAAAUAACUAAGGAAAGUAUUAUAUUUGCUGAUCCAGUAGUGAAAUACUGAUUAUUAGGUGAGUUACCGUAGGGAUAACAGCGUAAUCUUUUUUGAGAGCUCAAAUCGAAAAAAGGGUUUGCGACCUCGAUGUUGGACUAGGAUACCCAGAGGGUGCAGAAGCUCUCAAAGGUUGGUCUGUUCGACCAGUAAUAUCCUACGUGAUCUGAGUUCACACCG